This 253-nucleotide ribosomal RNA is filed under the name uncultured bacterium. Its description in RNAcentral is "partial 16S ribosomal RNA". It matches the Rfam family "Bacterial small subunit ribosomal RNA", at positions 524 to 776 of the family's 1533-position model. The record is from RNAcentral.
UACAUGGGGUGCAAACGUUGCUCGGAAUUAUUGGGCGUAAAGCGCACGUAGGCGGUUUGUUAAGUCGGAUGUGAAAUCCCUCGGCUCAACUGAGGAAGUGCGUCCGAAACUGGCAAGCUUGAGUACGAAAGAGGGUCGCGGAAUUCCCGGUGUAGAGGUGAAAUUCGUAGAUAUCGGGAGGAACACCGGUGGCGAAGGCGGCGACCUGGGUCGAUACUGACGCUGAGGUGCGAAAGCGUGGGGAGCAAACAGG